Molecule: RNase P RNA, 361 nt
Filed under: Thermomonas sp.
Lineage: Bacteria; Pseudomonadati; Pseudomonadota; Gammaproteobacteria; Lysobacterales; Lysobacteraceae
Description: RNase P RNA component class A
Rfam family: Bacterial RNase P class A
About the family: Ribonuclease P (RNase P) is a ubiquitous endoribonuclease, found in archaea, bacteria and eukarya as well as chloroplasts and mitochondria. Its best characterised activity is the generation of mature 5'-ends of tRNAs by cleaving the 5'-leader elements of precursor-tRNAs. Cellular RNase Ps are ribonucleoproteins.
Source: RNAcentral
GGAGUCGGCCAGACAGUCGCGUCAUCCACAUGCAAAUGUGCGAUGCCGAGGAAAGUCCGGGCUCCACAGGGCACGGUGCCAGGUAAUGCCUGGGCGGCGCGAGCCGACGGAAAGUGCAACAGAAAGAUACCGCCUUCAGAUCCUUCGGGAUUCGUCGGUAAGGGUGAAAUGGUGCGGUAAGAGCGCACCGCGAGCCUGGCAACAGGCCGGUACGGCAAACCCCACCGGGAGCAAGACCGAAUAGGGACCCCAUGACGUUGCCCGCGUCAGGUCCGGGUAGGUUGCUUGAGCGUAUCGGUGACGAUGCGCCUAGAGGAAUGACUGUCCACGACAGGACCCGGCUUAUCGGCCGACUCCGCCA